GCCUUGAUAGCUCAGUCGGUAGAGCAGGGGAUUGAAAAUCCCCGUGUCGGUGGUUCGAUUCCGCCUCGAGGCACCA
RNAcentral lists this transfer RNA (76 nucleotides) under Actinobacillus lignieresii. Its description in RNAcentral is "tRNA-Phe(gaa)". It matches the Rfam family "tRNA". Rfam says of the family: Transfer RNA (tRNA) molecules are approximately 80 nucleotides in length. Their secondary structure includes four short double-helical elements and three loops (D, anti-codon, and T loops). Lineage: Bacteria; Pseudomonadati; Pseudomonadota; Gammaproteobacteria; Pasteurellales; Pasteurellaceae. The record is from RNAcentral. RNAcentral also lists the same sequence under 2 other names.